RNAcentral lists this ribosomal RNA (691 nucleotides) under uncultured Pseudomonadaceae bacterium. Its description in RNAcentral is "SSU rRNA". It matches the Rfam family "Bacterial small subunit ribosomal RNA", at positions 89 to 776 of the family's 1533-position model. The record is from RNAcentral. Lineage: Bacteria; Pseudomonadati; Pseudomonadota; Gammaproteobacteria; Pseudomonadales; Pseudomonadaceae.
GAUUCAGCGGCGGACGGGUGAGUAAUGCCUAGGAAUCUGCCUGGUAGUGGGGGAUAACGUCCGGAAACGGGCGCUAAUACCGCAUACGUCCUGAGGGAGAAAGUGGGGGAUCUUCGGACCUCACGCUAUCAGAUGAGCCUAGGUCGGAUUAGCUAGUUGGUGGGGUAAAGGCCUACCAAGGCGACGAUCCGUAACUGGUCUGAGAGGAUGAUCAGUCACACUGGAACUGAGACACGGUCCAGACUCCUACGGGAGGCAGCAGUGGGGAAUAUUGGACAAUGGGCGAAAGCCUGAUCCAGCCAUGCCGCGUGUGUGAAGAAGGUCUUCGGAUUGUAAAGCACUUUAAGUUGGGAGGAAGGGCAGUAAGUUAAUACCUUGCUGUUUUGACGUUACCAACAGAAUAAGCACCGGCUAACUUCGUGCCAGCAGCCGCGGUAAUACGAAGGGUGCAAGCGUUAAUCGGAAUUACUGGGCGUAAAGCGCGCGUAGGUGGUUCAGCAAGUUGGAUGUGAAAUCCCCGGGCUCAACCUGGGAACUGCAUCCAAAACUACUGAGCUAGAGUACGGUAGAGGGUGGUGGAAUUUCCUGUGUAGCGGUGAAAUGCGUAGAUAUAGGAAGGAACACCAGUGGCGAAGGCGACCACCUGGACUGAUACUGACACUGAGGUGCGAAAGCGUGGGGAGCAAACAGG